RNAcentral lists this transfer RNA (76 nucleotides) under Acidovorax carolinensis. Its description in RNAcentral is "tRNA-Asn". It matches the Rfam family "tRNA". From Rfam's summary of the family: Transfer RNA (tRNA) molecules are approximately 80 nucleotides in length. The record is from RNAcentral. Lineage: Bacteria; Pseudomonadati; Pseudomonadota; Betaproteobacteria; Burkholderiales; Comamonadaceae.
UCCUCGAUAGCUCAGUCGGUAGAGCUCCGGACUGUUAAUCCGUAGGUCCCUGGUUCGAGCCCAGGUCGAGGAGCCA